UCCUCCGCCCGCCGCCCGGGAGCCGCAGCCGCCGCCGCCACUGCCACUCCCGCUCUCUCCGCGCCGCCGUCGCCACCGCCACCGCCACUACCACCGGCUGAGUCUGCAGUCCCGAGGAGAUCCCAGCCAUCAUGUCCAUAGAGAAGAUCUGGGCCCGGGAGAUCCUGGACUCCCGCGGGAACCCCACAGUGGAGGUGGAUCUCUAUACUGCCAAAGGGCUUUUCCGGGCUGCAGUGCCCAGUGGAGCCUCUACGGGUAUCUAUGAGGCCCUGGAGCUGAGGGAUGGAGACAAACAGCGUUACUUAGGCAAAGGUGAGGUCCUUUCUCUUUUCCAGACUCUCCCCCACCUCAGCCUUAUGCCCCUACCUCACACCAGUCCCCAGUCCUCCUCUAGCAUGCCUUCCCCUCCUCCCAUUGAUCCCUUCCGGCCCCUCCUGGCCUGACCCAGUCCAGCCUCUUCCUUUCCCCAGGUGUCCUGAAGGCAGUGGACCACAUCAACUCCACCAUCGCGCCAGCCCUCAUCAGCUCAGUGAGG
Molecule: small RNA, 535 nt
Filed under: Pongo abelii (Sumatran orangutan)
Lineage: Eukaryota; Metazoa; Chordata; Mammalia; Primates; Hominidae
Description: retained intron
Source: RNAcentral